RNAcentral lists this ribosomal RNA (255 nucleotides) under uncultured bacterium. RNAcentral describes it as "partial 16S ribosomal RNA". It matches the Rfam family "Bacterial small subunit ribosomal RNA", at positions 524 to 777 of the family's 1533-position model. The record is from RNAcentral.
UACGAAGGGGGCUAGCGUUGCUCGGAAUCACUGGGCGUAAAGGGUGCGUAGGCGGGUCUUUUAAGUCAGGGGUGAAAUCCUGGAGCUCAACUCCAGAACUGCCUUUGAUACUGAAGAUCUUGAGUUCGGGAGAGGUGAGUGGAACUGCGAGUGUGGAGGUGAAAUUCGUAGAUAUUCGCAAGAACACCAGUGGCGAAGGCGGCUCACUGGCCCGAUACUGACGCUGAGGCACGAAAGCGUGGGGAGCAAACAGGG